This 1269-nucleotide long non-coding RNA is filed under the name Homo sapiens (human). RNAcentral's name for it is "BST2 interferon stimulated positive regulator". The record is from RNAcentral. Lineage: Eukaryota; Metazoa; Chordata; Mammalia; Primates; Hominidae.
AGAAAGGAGGUGGGCUUUUUUUUCACCCUGCUUUAAAAGCCCUUGGGCCCUUCCCAGCUGGGUGCCAGCCAACUGUGGCUGCCUGGGACACUCCAUCUUAAGUCCCUGUGCCUCUGCUGUGUGUUACUGAGUGCCUAGGCCGUGCCAGCCUGUAUUCAUCUGUACUAUGACCUGAAGAGGCAGAGGCCAUCACUGUUGGUCCGGUCUCCACCUGGGGAAACUGAGGUGUCUCUGUGGUGACGAGCAGGGCUUCAUCCAGUGCCUCUGUCCCCACCGAGGGGACUAUGGGAGACAUGGAGGGUGUGUGAGCAACAGGUGAGACUGGAGCCAGCUGAAAACUGGGAGACCGACCCAGCCAACAAACAAUGUCGGUCUCUGUCUUGGCACCUGCAGGAAACAAGCUCCUACUUCCAGAAAAAGUGCUCCUGGGACUCCAGGAUACCAGGCAUCUGGGUAAGCUACAAUGCUUAACCACUUAACACAAUCAGGAAGCAACAGCCAUGCAUUCGGGAAAGGAACUUCAGUGUUGUGUGGCUCAGUCUCCAGACCUAACUUUCCCUUUGGUACAGACGCGGUGGUACAUGCCUGUAAUCCCAACACUUAGGCAGGAGGAUCACUCGAGCCCAGAAGAUCAAGACUAGUGUGAGCAACAAAAUCCUUCCCUGGCACCGGUUCCAGGAGGACCUCGUUCUUAGGCAGCAUCUGUGUCUCUGUUUUGUAAGACACACAGAGUAUCCUUAACCCACUGCAGAUAUUUCCCUGGGUCCAUGGUCAAUCAACACCACCUUUCAGUCUCCAGCCUCUUAACCAGCCCAGGGCUGAGUGUUGUUUAUAGUAUUAAUAUGUUUCUGGCUGGGCUCAGUGGCUCAUGCCUGUAAUCCCGGCACUAUGGGAGGCUGAGGCAGGCGGAUCACUUGAGGUCAGGAGUUCAAGACCAGCCUGGCCAACAUAGUAAAACCCCGUCUCUACUAAAAAUACAAAAAUGAGCCGGGUGUGGUGGCGUGUGUCUAUAAUCCCAGCUACUCGGGAGGCUGAGGCAGGAGAAUUGCUUGAACCUGGGAGGUGGAGGCUACAGUGAGCUGAGAUCAUGCCACUGCACUCCAGCCUGGGCAAGAAAGUGAGACUCCAUCUCAAAACAAAGAAACAAACAAAGUAUUAAUAUGUUCCCCUUGAUCAGUGGGGUGGUUCACCCUUGUAAUCCCAGCACUUUGGGAGGCAGAGGCUGGCGGAUCGCUUGAGUCCAGGAGUUCGAGACCAGCCUGGGUGAAC